Molecule: ribosomal RNA, 458 nt
Filed under: uncultured bacterium
Lineage: Bacteria
Description: partial 16S ribosomal RNA
Rfam family: Bacterial small subunit ribosomal RNA
Source: RNAcentral
AACGAACGCUGGCGGCAUGCCUAACACAUGCAAGUCGAACGAGACCUUCGGGACUAGUGGCGCACGGGGUCGUAACGCGAGGGAACCGGCCCAUAUGUUCGGAAUAACUCUCCGACAGGGGUGAUAAUACCGGAUAAUGGCUUCGGACCAAAGAUUUAUCGACCUGGGAUGGGCCCGCGUGGGAUUAGCUAGUUGGUAAGGUAACAGCCUACCAAGGCAACGAUGCAUAGCUGACCUGAGAGGAUGAUUGGCCACACUGGAACUGAGACACGGUCCAGACUCCUACGGGAUGCAGCAGUAGGGAAUCUUCCGCAAUGGGCGAAAGCCUGACGGAGCAACGCCGCGUGAGUGAUGAAGGUCUUCGGAUCGUAAAACUCUGUUAUUAAGGAAGAACAUAUGUGUAAGUAACUGUGCACAUCUUGACGGUACCUAAUCAGAAAGCCACGGCUAACUACGUG